This 473-nucleotide ribosomal RNA is filed under the name uncultured Rhodopirellula sp. Its description in RNAcentral is "bacterial SSU rRNA". It matches the Rfam family "Bacterial small subunit ribosomal RNA", at positions 29 to 505 of the family's 1533-position model. The record is from RNAcentral. Lineage: Bacteria; Pseudomonadati; Planctomycetota; Planctomycetia; Pirellulales; Pirellulaceae.
AAUGAACGUUGGCGGCAUGGAUUAGGCAUGCAAGUCGCACGAGAAGCUAAGUAGCUUGCUAUGAGGCGGACAGUGGCGUAAGGGAGAGUAACGCGUAGUUACGUGCCCUCGGGACCGGGAUAGCGUCGGGAAACUGGCAGUAAUACCGGAUAACAUCUACGGAUCAAAUGGUGUGAUUCCGCCUGAGGAUUGGACUGCGUACUAUUAGCUUGUUGGCGGGGUAACGGCCCACCAAGGCUUUGAUGGUUACCGGGUGUGAGAGCAUGGCCCGGCUCACUGGGACUGAGACACUGCCCAGACACCUACGGGUGGCUGCAGUCGAGAAUCUUCGGCAAUGGACGCAAGUCUGACCGAGCGAUGCCGCGUGCGGGAUGAAGGCCUUCGGGUUGUAAACCGCUGUCAGUUGUUAGGAAAUCCCAUGGGGUUCUCUCCAUGGGUUGACCGAUCUUCAGAGGAAGGACGGGCUAAGUUCG